AGAUUGAACGCUGGCGGAAUGCUUUACACAUGCAAGUCGAGCGGCAGCGCGGGGCAACCUGGCGGCGAGCGGCGAACGGGGUGAGUAAUGCAUCGGAACAUGUCCAUUCGUGGGGGAUAGCCCGGCGAAAGCCGGAUUAAUACCGCAUACGCCCUUAGGGGGAAAGCCGGGGACCGCAAGGCCUGGCGCGAAUGGGUUGGCCGAUGCCCGAUUAGCUAGUUGGCGGGGUAAUGGCCCACAAGGCGAUGAUCGGUCGCUGGUCUGAGAGGAUGAUCAGCCACACUGGGACUGAGACACGCCAGACCUCUACGGGAGCAGCAGUGGGAAUUUGGACAGUGGGCACCGUGAUCCAGUCCAUUCCGCGUGAGUAGAAGAACGGCGUUUAGGGUUGUAAAGUCUUCGUUUCGUACCGGUAACGAACGGUUGUCGGUAGUAACGUAG
This 441-nucleotide ribosomal RNA is filed under the name uncultured soil bacterium. RNAcentral describes it as "bacterial SSU rRNA". It matches the Rfam family "Bacterial small subunit ribosomal RNA", at positions 26 to 474 of the family's 1533-position model. The record is from RNAcentral.